This 253-nucleotide ribosomal RNA is filed under the name uncultured bacterium. RNAcentral describes it as "partial 16S ribosomal RNA". It matches the Rfam family "Bacterial small subunit ribosomal RNA", at positions 524 to 776 of the family's 1533-position model. The record is from RNAcentral.
UACGAAGGGGGCAAGCGUUGCUCGGAAUCAUUGGGCGUAAAGCGCACGUAGGCGGUCUGUUAUGUCGGAUGUGAAAGCCCUUGGCUUAACUGAGGAAGUGCAUCCGAAACUGGCAGGCUAGAGUACUAAAGAGGGUCGCGGAAUUCCCGGUGUAGAGGUGAAAUUCGUAGAUAUCGGGAGGAACACCGGUGGCGAAGGCGGCGACCUGGGUAGAUACUGACGCUGAGGUGCGAAAGCGUGGGGAGCAAACAGG